GAAAGAUGUACCCUUGGGCCCCCCUUCUCGAUUCAGAGAUGGUCAGCAUCCUGACGGCCCAAUGGACAAAGCUGUCUCUCAGUCUGCUGGUUCUGGCCCGGAGGCUCUUCAGUAUCCUUCCUGAUGGCAGCAAACUGAAGACGCUGUUGAAGGGAUGAGUGGAGUCACCUGUAAUGGAGAGGACCUUCCAGAUAGGCAGAACCCAGUGCAGGAGUCAUACCACACAGUGAUGCAGCUGUUUGCAGAGGAAGUAGAGUCGCUGUUGGUCUUCUCCACAUUCAGGGACAAGUUGUUGUUGCUGUACCACUCUGGCAGUUGGAUUUGAAGAAGGUCGUUCGUGGCUCAAGAGUUGGCAGCUCGCCUUGUGAUCAGAAGAUUGCCGGUUCGCGCCCCGGCUCGGACGCUCUUCGUCGUUGUGUCCGUGGUCAGGACUCUUCACCUACCGCCUACUAGUGAUGGCCAAAGGGGCAGAUGUGGCAGCCUCGCCUCUGUCAGUCUGUCCCAGGGCAUGCAAUCAAUUACUGUUCAAACCAACGGUUAACUGUAUAUUUACGUAUUAUGAUUCAUAUUUCCACAUUCAGUGACCUUGUUUAUAGGUAAUUUCAUUGUUUGAUCGCGUAAAAAUGUUCCUAAUUUAAUGUCUAAAAGCACUUGGAAAAGGCAGAAUCCCAUGUCAAAUUAGCGCAACAAACUCUAUUUUCAUUACUGGAAAUAACCGUAUUUUUAUGGGACAGUUAUUUUCUGUUAUUUCACGGUCGUAUUUUGGCGCCCAG
Molecule: long non-coding RNA, 773 nt
Organism: Astatotilapia calliptera (eastern happy)
Lineage: Eukaryota; Metazoa; Chordata; Actinopteri; Cichliformes; Cichlidae
Source: Ensembl